CCUACUUGAUUGGAUCUGGGUCUGAAAAACUCAAAGAUUGAGUGUUGUCAUCAGCUUGAUCUCUUGUUUAACCACGGGAUAGGAGUUAAAUAACAGCACUACAUCU
Molecule: non-coding RNA, 106 nt
Organism: Glycine soja
Lineage: Eukaryota; Viridiplantae; Streptophyta; Magnoliopsida; Fabales; Fabaceae
Source: Rfam